This 378-nucleotide ribosomal RNA is filed under the name Triticum aestivum (bread wheat). RNAcentral describes it as "partial small subunit ribosomal RNA". Lineage: Eukaryota; Viridiplantae; Streptophyta; Magnoliopsida; Poales; Poaceae. The record is from RNAcentral.
AUGCAUGGCCAGGAGGGCCAUGAGCUGCUACAGCCGGUAGUGCCCAGCUAUGCCAAGGCGCUGGUUACUGCUGCUGGCCAUAGUGGAGAUCCUACUAGCAGGGAGGGUCAGGGGAUCCAUCCCAUGGGUGGAGGCAACCAUUCACAGGGUGCAGCUACAGCCGCUGCUAAACAUGAUGGGCUUUUAUUCAUGCCCGGUGUGCUGGAGGCUCUUUCAGGGGCUGUUGCUGCUAGGCUGGCUGCUCAGGAAACAACAAAUGGUAAUGUGGCAUCUACUUUUAAUGCUGGGAAAAAUUCGGUGCAGGGCAAGCAAAAGAGGAAGGGGGGAAAGGAAAAAAUGUGGGAGUGUUUGAGAGAGCAGAGAAUGCACGUAAAGUAA